This 2108-nucleotide ribosomal RNA is filed under the name human gut metagenome. RNAcentral's name for it is "bacterial LSU rRNA". It matches the Rfam family "Bacterial large subunit ribosomal RNA", at positions 741 to 2856 of the family's 2925-position model. The record is from RNAcentral.
CAGGUUGAAGUUGGGGUAAAACCCGAUGGAGGACCGAACCGACCCCCGUUGAAACGUUGGCGGAUGAGUUGUGGCUAGGGGUGAAAUUCCAAUCGAACUCGGAGAUAGCUGGUUCUCCCCGAAAUAGCUUUAGGGCUAGCGUCGAGAGAGAGUCAUGUGAAGGUAGAGCACUGAAUAUGUGAUGGCCCCAUCCCGGGGUACUGAAUAUAAUCAAACUCCGAAUGUCACAGAGACAUGCUCGGCAGUCAGACAGCGGGUGAUAAGGUCCACUGUCAAGAGGGAAACAGCCCAGACCAUCAGCUAAGGUCCCAAAAUAUAUACUAAGUGGAAAAGGAUGUGGAGAUGUCCAGACAACUAGGAGGUUGGCUCAGAAGCAGCCAUCCUUUAAAGAGUGCGUAACAGCUCACUAGUCGAAUGACUCUGCGCCGAUAAUUUACCGGGGCUAAGUAUAUUACCGAAGCUAUGGAUUUGCGAUGAGCAAGUGGUAGGGGAGCGUUCUAUGAGCGAAGAAGCAGUACCGGAAGGAGCUGUGGAGCAUAUAGAAGAGAGAAUGCCGGUGUGAGUAGCGGAACGUGGGUGAGAAUCCCACGCACCGAAAACCCAAGGUUUCCAGAGGAAGGUUCGUCCGCUCUGGGUAAGUCGGGACCUAAGGCGAGGCCGAGAGGCGUAGUCGAUGGACAACAGGUAGAGAUUCCUGUACUUACGGUAUGAAUGAAGGAGUGACGGAGAAGGCUAGGUGAUCCUGCGGCUGGAAGAGCAGGUGCAAGCGAGGUAGCAGAUAUCCAGGCAAAUCCGGAUGUCGAGAAAGCGAAGGCGUGAAGCGGAUGGAAAGCCAAGGCAAGUACAGAAGUCAUUGAAGCCAGCUUCCAAGAAAAGCUUCUAGUGAAAAUCAUACAGUAACCCGUACCGAAAAUGGACACACAUGGGUGAGGAGAGAAUCCUAAGGUGAGCGAGAGAACUAUAGCUAAGGAACUCUGCAAAAUGACUCCGUAACUUAGGGAGAAGGAGUGCUCAUAGAGAUAUGAGCCGCAGUGAAACGGCCCAAGCGACUGUUUACCAAAAACACAGCUCUAUGCUAAGUCGAAAGACGACGUAUAUGGGGUGACGCCUGCCCGGUGCUGGAAGGUUAAGAGGAUGUGUCAGCGCAAGCGAAGCACUGAAUUGAAGCCCCAGUAAACGGCGGCCGUAACUAUAACGGUCCUAAGGUAGCGAAAUUCCUUGUCAGGUAAGUUCUGACCCGCACGAAAGGCGUAACGAUUUGGGCGCUGUCUCAGCUGUAGACUCGGUGAAGUCUUAGUACCUGUGAAGAUGCAGGUUACCCGCGACUAGACGGAAAGACCCCAUGGAGCUUUACUGUAGCUUGAUAUUGGACUUUGAUGCAAGAUGUACAGGAUAGGUAGGAGACUGAGAGACAUGCACGCCAGUGUGUGAGGAGUCAAUGUUGGGAUACUACUCUUCUUGUAUUGGAGUUCUAACCGGAUGCCAUGGAACUGGCAACGGGACAGUGUCAGGUGGGCAGUUUGACUGGGGCGGUCGCCUCCCAAAGAGUAACGGAGGCGCCCAAAGAUACCCUCAGCUUGGAUGGAAAUCAAGCGCAGAGUGCAAAGGCAUAAGGGUGUUUGACUGCGAGACCUACAAGUCGAGCAGGGACGAAAGUCGGGCUUAGUGAUCCGGCGGUGCUGAAUGGAAAGGCCGUCGCUCAACGGAUAAAAGCUACCCUGGGGAUAACAGGCUGAUCUCCCCCAAGAGUUCACAUCGACGGGGAGGUUUGGCACCUCGAUGUCGGCUCAUCGCAUCCUGGAGCUGAAGUCGGUUCCAAGGGUUGGGCUGUUCGCCCAUUAAAGCGGUACGCGAGCUGGGUUCAGAACGUCGUGAGACAGUUCGGUCCCUAUCUGUCGUGGGCGUAGGAAGUUUGAGAAGAUCUGUCCUCAGUACGAGAGGACCGGGAUGGACAUAUCAAUGGUGCACCAGUUGUCACGCCAGUGGCACAGCUGGGUAGCUAAAUAUGGAAGGGAUAAACGCUGAAGGCAUCUAAGUGUGAAACCCACUUCAAGAUGAGACUUCCCAUUACGCAAGUAAGUAAGACCCCUUAAAGACGAUAAGGUUGA